This 83-nucleotide microRNA precursor is filed under the name Vriesea carinata. RNAcentral describes it as "miR528 stem-loop (vca-MIR528)". Its record names the gene vca-MIR528. The record is from miRBase by way of RNAcentral. Lineage: Eukaryota; Viridiplantae; Streptophyta; Magnoliopsida; Poales; Bromeliaceae.
GUGGAAGGGGCAUGCAGAGGAGAGGAGAGAUCCAAAACUCUACCCAGGCCCUGUUUUUCUUUUCCUGUGCUCGCCCCUUCCAC